CACAGGCACCACUGCCACAUCACUGUGCUUCUCAUCUCAGACCUCUCCUCUCUCUCUUUUCUGUAGCAGUCCAUUCCUUCUUGUCUUUCCGCUUGCUCUCUGGUCCUCUUCCCUUUUGACUGUCCAAAUUAGAGAGUAUCCAUCUUGUCAGGAAUGGAGUCUGAGGAGGGAAGAAGAGACAGUUCAGUAGUCUAACUUAACUCAUUAAAGGCGCUGGUGAUGAGACAUGGCAGACUUCUUCCAUCUGUGCCAAUUCAGCCUAAAUUUCUUGAGUUCUCUUCUGAAGGAGGCCUUGUGUGGUGAGAACUGUGAAUGUGGAGUGCUUAGAGAUGUAUCAGGUGAUUGUGAGGAACGUAUCUAGAUUCAAAUUGAUGAGAGAGAAGGGAGACUUCAUAAUUAUAAUGAAAGACGACAAAGCAAGGUGAAAUUUGCUGUGACAGUGGUUACUCUUGGAAUCUUUUUCUAUAUCUGUGAAAUUCACAUGAAAAUUAAAUAAAUUUGAAGGAAACUUUCCUGGGA
Numida meleagris (helmeted guineafowl) is the source of this 519-nucleotide long non-coding RNA. RefSeq lists it as uncharacterized. The transcript has 3 exons. Lineage: Eukaryota; Metazoa; Chordata; Aves; Galliformes; Numididae. The record is from RefSeq and is a predicted model, not a curated record.